This is a long non-coding RNA of Branchiostoma belcheri (Belcher's lancelet), 286 nucleotides long. RefSeq lists it as uncharacterized. The transcript is spliced from 3 exons. Lineage: Eukaryota; Metazoa; Chordata; Leptocardii; Amphioxiformes; Branchiostomatidae. The record is from RefSeq and is a predicted model, not a curated record.
GGGGAAGACACGAAAGUCGAGUGGAGGGAACUGAAGGAUCGACUGGGACUGGAGAGCGACAGCGCACUCGCGCGGCGUUUGUUGGACAGUUUCCAGGUUUCUGCAUCCCAGCCCCCCACCUGUACCUGUACCUGUAUGGUUGCUCCCAGGUCGUCCAGCCCACAGACUUUGUCACAGCCACCUACCUUUGAUGCUGGUGAUGUGUCUAGUGUGGGUGAACAUUCAGAAAGUGAAGAACUGGAGAGCAGCCUAUCCCAUCUCAAUGUCUGUGAUCCAGAGGAUGAAG